Molecule: non-coding RNA, 110 nt
Organism: Cryphonectria parasitica EP155
Lineage: Eukaryota; Fungi; Ascomycota; Sordariomycetes; Diaporthales; Cryphonectriaceae
Source: the annotation of a RefSeq genome assembly
GCGCAAAUGGUUUAGUGGUAAAAUCCAUCGUUGCCAUCUUCUUCACAACCUUCUGGGUUCGUGAUUCGGACUGAUUCGAUGGGCCCCCGGUUCGAUUCCGGGUUUGCGCA